GAUGAACGCUGGCGGCGUGCCUAAUACAUGCAAGUCGAGCGAACAGAUGAGGAGCUUGCUCCUCUGACGUUAGCGGCGGACGGGUGAGUCACACGUGGUUAACCUACCUCUACGACUGGGAUACCUUCGGGAAACCGGAGCUACUACCGGAUAAUAUAUUGACCCGCAUGGUUCCCUAGUGAAAGACGGUUUUGCUGUCACUUAUAGCUGGAUCAGCGCCGCAUUAGCUAGUUGGUUAGGUAACGGCUUACCAAGGCUACGAUGCGUAGCCGACCUGAGCGGGUGGUCGGACACACUGGAACAGAGACACGGUCCAGACUCCGACGGGGGGCAGCAGUAGGGAAUCUUCCGGGAUGGGGGAGAGCGUGACGGAGCAACGCGGCGUGAGUGAUGAAGGUCUUCGGAUCGGAGAACGCUGUUAUUAGGGAAGAACAAAUGUGUAAGUAACUAUGCACGUCUUGACAGUACCUAAUCAGAAAGCCACGGCUAACUACGUG
This 497-nucleotide ribosomal RNA is filed under the name uncultured bacterium. Its description in RNAcentral is "partial 16S ribosomal RNA". It matches the Rfam family "Bacterial small subunit ribosomal RNA", at positions 28 to 507 of the family's 1533-position model. The record is from RNAcentral.